GCUCCAAUAGCGUAUAUUUAAGUUGUUGCAGUUAAAAAGCUCGUAGUUGGAUUUCGGGUGGGUGUUAGCGGUCCGGCUCUGCUGUGUACUGCUAAUGCCUAUCUUUCUGUCGGGGACGGGCUCUUGGGCUUCAUUGUCCGGGACUCGGAGUCGACGUGGUUACUUUGAGUAAAUUAGAGUGUUCAAAGCAAGCGUUCGCU
Molecule: ribosomal RNA, 200 nt
Filed under: uncultured eukaryote
Lineage: Eukaryota
Description: partial 18S ribosomal RNA
Rfam family: Eukaryotic small subunit ribosomal RNA
Source: RNAcentral